AAUGGAAGUGUUACGGGAUCUCUGGGGUAUUAAUUUUCUGGUUGGAAACCUCUGUGGCCAGUGUGGCACCUUUGCCUGAGUUCUUGUCUUGCCACCAGGAAGAAUGAGGUACACAGACAAGUGGAGGGAGAACAAGUCAACAAGGAGGUUUACUGAGUGCUAGAAAGCUCAGAGGAGACCCACAGUGGGUAGCUCUUCUCUGUAGGGAGAUCAUCCCAUUGAGUGUUCAGCUCUCAGCAGAGAGGAGGCCCUAGAGAGUGUGGCUCCUCUCUGUAGCUGGUCCCCCCAACCUCUGCUCAGCUUUGGCUGAGCCUGGGGCUUUUAUGGGCCUCAGAGUGGAGGAAGUGUGAGCCCAGUUGAUCUAUGGGCAGCCAUGGGUGGGCCAGAAAAGGCAGUACAAGUUCCCACUCUGGUUGGUCGGACUGGCAACCUGGCCCCCAGCCUUCAGGCGCCUGGCCUGAAGGUGGGGCCUCACUGGGACCUGCCCGCUUCCAACCAGGAAUCUAUCUGCCUCUUGCUGCCAUUCAUGAAGCCCAGGCUUGCCCUGACUUUGCUCCCAGAUCAAAGCAGGUGUCCAAAGCAGGAAGAAGCCAGGCAGCAGCAGAAGGCACUUCUGAGCCUGGGAGAGCAGGUGAGGGCCUUCCUGGGCCCCUAAGAGUACAGGGAUGCCUGAGCCUGCAGCUGUGGUUUGGGUGGCUGUAGCUGUGUGAAGAGGGGGCUGGGGGCUCCUGUCUGCCCCAUGGAGGAGGCCCCAGUCUGCAGUUGCGGUUUGGGUAGCUGCAGCUGCACCUGGGAGGGCAGGGCUCCUGCCUGCUCCAUAGAGUGUGUAGCCCAGGCCAUGCCUCCCUGCUGUGGCUGAGUGUUGACAGCAGCAGGUUGUCUGGAGCCAUGGCUGCCAUCAGAAGUGACCAAUGACUGGUGAUUGUCAUGAGUGGUACAAGGUCAAGAGAUAACCAGGUCUGGCCAGGGGUGGUGGCUCACGCCUGUAAUCCCAAACUUUUGGGAGGCCAAGGCAGGAAGAUUGCUGGAGGCCAGGAGUUCAAGACCAGCCUGACCAACAUGGUGAAACUCUGUCUCUACUAAAAAUACAAAAAUUAACUGGCUGUGGUGGCACAGGUCUGUAAUCCCAGCUACUUGGGAGACUGAGGCAGGAGAAUUGCUUGAAUCUGGGAGGCAGAGGUUGCAAUUGCAAUGAGCCAAGAUCAUGCCACUGCACUGCAGCCUGGGUGACAGAGUGAGACUCUGUCUCAAGAAAGAAAAAAUAGAUAACCAGGUCCACACAUGUUUGUGUCUUUCUACAAUGUCAGAUUUUUAUUCACCCUAUACCCAAGAGUAAAAAAACAAAAGCCACGAGAUAUCCCAAGGAGCCAAUUUGCUGCUGCUGCUUCUUUUUUUUUUUUCUUCGAUACAGAAUCUCACUCUGUUGCCCAGGCUGGAGUGCAGCUGGAGUGCAGUGGCACAAUCUCAGCUCACUGCAACCUCUGACUGCCGGGUUCAAGCAAUUCUCAUGCCUCACCCUCCCAAGUAGCUGGGGUUACAGGCCUGUGCUACCAUGCCCAGCUAAUUUUUGUAUUUUUAGUGGAGAUGGGUUUUCACCAUGUUGGCCAAGCUGGUCUCAAACUCCUGACCUCAGGUGGUCUGCCUGCUUCAGCCUCCCAAAAUGCUGGAAUUAUAGGCAAGGGCCACCAUGCUCAGACCCAAGGAGCCAAUUUUCCUUAGUACUUCCUGUUCACUCAGUAGUUAGCACACGGGCUCAAGCCACUAUACAAGUCAGUCAGUCAAUAUUGCAA
Macaca fascicularis (crab-eating macaque) is the source of this 1790-nucleotide long non-coding RNA. NCBI's taxonomy places the organism in Eukaryota, Metazoa, Chordata, Mammalia, Primates, Cercopithecidae. The record is from Ensembl.